This 475-nucleotide ribosomal RNA is filed under the name uncultured organism. Its description in RNAcentral is "partial 16S ribosomal RNA". It matches the Rfam family "Bacterial small subunit ribosomal RNA", at positions 334 to 800 of the family's 1533-position model. The record is from RNAcentral.
CACUCCUGCGGGAGGCAGCAGUGGGGAAUUUUGGACAAUGGGCGAAAGCCUGAUCCAGCAAUGCCGCGUGUGUGAAGAAGGCCUUCGGGUUGUAAAGCACUUUUGUCCGGAAAGAAAUCCUUGGCUCUAAUACAGUCGGGGGAUGACGGUACCGGAAGAAUAAGCACCGGCUAACUACGUGCCAGCAGCCGCGGUAAUACGUAGGGUGCGAGCGUUAAUCGGAAUUACUGGGCGUAAAGCGUGCGCAGGCGGUUUGCUAAGACCGAUGUGAAAUCCCCGGGCUCAACCUGGGAACUGCAUUGGUGACUGGCAGGCUAGAGUAUGGCAGAGGGGGGUAGAAUUCCACGUGUAGCAGUGAAAUGCGUAGAGAUGUGGAGGAAUACCGAUGGCGAAGGCAGCCCCCUGGGCCAAUACUGACGCUCAUGCACGAAAGCGUGGGGAGCAAACAGGAUUAGAUACCCCAGUAGUCCCAUGA